RNAcentral lists this ribosomal RNA (209 nucleotides) under uncultured bacterium. Its description in RNAcentral is "partial 16S ribosomal RNA". It matches the Rfam family "Bacterial small subunit ribosomal RNA", at positions 1285 to 1500 of the family's 1533-position model. The record is from RNAcentral.
GUCUCAGUUCGGAUUGGAGUCUGCAACCCGACUCCAUGAAGCUGGAUUCGCUAGUAAUCGCGCAUCAGCCACGGCGCGGUGAAUACGUUCCCGGGCCCUUGUACACACCGCCCGUCAAGCCAUGGAAGCCGGGGGUGCCUGAAGUGCGCUGCCGCAAGGAGCGCCCUAGGGUAAAACCGGUGACUGGGGCUAAGUCGUAACAAGGUAGC